This is a non-coding RNA of Diplodia corticola, 104 nucleotides long. Lineage: Eukaryota; Fungi; Ascomycota; Dothideomycetes; Botryosphaeriales; Botryosphaeriaceae. The record is from Rfam.
GGUCGCUUAGCUCAGUUGGUUAGAGCGUGGUGCUAAUAUUGGCAGUCCUCCCAGAGGACUAGAAGUUGACGCCAAGGUCGCGAGUUCGACCCUCGUAGUGACCA